Papiliotrema laurentii is the source of this 92-nucleotide non-coding RNA. The record is from the annotation of a GenBank genome assembly. Lineage: Eukaryota; Fungi; Basidiomycota; Tremellomycetes; Tremellales; Rhynchogastremaceae.
GGCACUUUGGCCGAGUGGUUUUAAGGCGAUCGCUUGCUAUUGGCUGUGAGCGGUUGACGUAAGUCGCGUGAGUUCGAAUCUCACAGGUGUCG